GUUACAGACGGACCCUUGUGGGGUCGAAGC
Molecule: non-coding RNA, 30 nt
Organism: Natrinema sp.
Lineage: Archaea; Methanobacteriati; Methanobacteriota; Halobacteria; Halobacteriales; Natrialbaceae
Source: Rfam